This 496-nucleotide ribosomal RNA is filed under the name uncultured bacterium. Its description in RNAcentral is "partial 16S ribosomal RNA". It matches the Rfam family "Bacterial small subunit ribosomal RNA", at positions 29 to 507 of the family's 1533-position model. The record is from RNAcentral.
AUGAACGCUGGCGGCGUGCCUAAUACAUGCAAGUCGAGCGCACAGAUGAGGAGCUUGCUCCUCUGACGUUAGCGGCGGACGGGUGAGUAACACGUGGAUAACCUACCUAUAAGACUGUGAUAACUUCGGGAAACCGGAGCUAAUACCGGAUAAUAUAUUGAACCGCAUGGUUCAAUAGUGAAAGACGGUUUUGCUGUCACUUAUAGAUGGAUCCGCGCCGCAUUAGCUAGUUGGUAAGGUAACGGCUUACCAAGGCAACGAUGCGUAGCCGACCUGAGAGGGUGAUCGGCCACACUGGAACUGAGACACGGUCCAGACUCCUACGGGAGGCAGCAGUAGGGAAUCUUCCGCAAUGGGCGAAAGCCUGACGGAGCAACGCCGCGUGAGUGAUGAAGGUCUUCGGAUCGUAAAACUCUGUUAUUAGGGAAGAACAAAUGUGUAAGUAACUAUGCACGUCUUGACGGUACCUAAUCAGAAAGCCACGGCUAACUACGUG